Molecule: long non-coding RNA, 1246 nt
Filed under: Homo sapiens (human)
Lineage: Eukaryota; Metazoa; Chordata; Mammalia; Primates; Hominidae
Description: FTX transcript, XIST regulator
Source: RNAcentral
GGAAGCACACUGCGGCGAUUCUGGAGAGGUUGUCCUUUUCUGGCAUCAGCGUUGCGGCUCGAGGCAAAGCUGGUCCUGUGCCUGCUGUCCAUUGCCGCUAAGGCCUGCUGCUGCCAUUCAGGCGUGUCUCUCUCUCUCUCUCUCUUUCAUGCCGCUCUCUCCACCCCAUCUUGGGACGGCCAGCUCUAAGAAUUCCUGCUACGACACUGAAUUCAACCAGGAGGUGAUGCCACACUCAAUCAGAAACUAUGCUACUGCUGAAGAGGUAUAUUGAGCCCUGCCUGGUUAACCUCCAGUGAGGUUAUUAGAGAAUUGGGAGAGGCUCAAAUCAGCAUCCUGCACCUAGUUAUCAAACCAUUGUGAAGUCUUGAUUCCUGGAUGGCCAGAAAACUUGUCAUUGGUCAAGAGCAACAUUAAGAUCUGCCUGUUACUCAUACUGAUGCUUCCUGCCCAGCAAGUUCAUCAGAGGGCGAGGAUGAAUUACGGUUGCCAUGAAUGUCCUUGUGAGGCAGUUGGGAAGCCUUGGCUGGAUUGUGAAGGAUAUUUGAAAAGUAUUUUAGAGUCCACCAGAUCAUCCAUGUGAGUGACCAUGCAGCAAAAGAAGGAGGGUCCUCUCAGUGAUUAAGGAUUAUGAAGUAUUAAUUCUUCCACUGAUAUCUCAAAAGGUGAUCUGGACAAAGGAACAGGUAUCUCAGCUAGACAGAAGGUACUGGAUAAAAAGAACCCUGAAGCAUGGGAUGAUUUUUUCCCAAUAUUCACUGUGAGAAUCUGUCAGAUAAUCAGCAACUGCUGUGAUGAGAUGCUGCCUUUAAUGCUGCUGCAUGUGGUCAAACCUCCACUCCCAGUCUACCCAGACCAGGACUUGGCUUCCAGGAUCCAGGGGUGUCUGUGUGAAAUGAUCAGCCUGGGCCCCCAAGCAGGUCACUCCCAGCACAGAGAUGUCAUUGAUUGUACCACCGUCAUCAGGCUGUCUUCCGCCCUCAGGGAAAAGUAGCAUGUCUUCCAGCACCAUAUGACAACUGCUCAGCACUUAUUUCUUGUCAUUGCUCCCUUCUGACUGCAGCUCCGUGGGAUCACAGGAGAUUAUGGUGGUGGUGGACUCCCAGGCAUUGCUAUUCUCCUGACACCAGAACACCAUCAUGGUCAUCUCUGAGGCAUCAGUAGUGUUUCUAUAUGCCAACAGUGAACAAUCUGAAAAAGAUAUUAAAAAGUAAUCUCAUUUACAAUAGCCACACAUAAAAUUAAA